RNAcentral lists this ribosomal RNA (375 nucleotides) under uncultured bacterium. RNAcentral describes it as "bacterial SSU rRNA". It matches the Rfam family "Bacterial small subunit ribosomal RNA", at positions 524 to 898 of the family's 1533-position model. The record is from RNAcentral.
UACGGAGGGUGCAAGCGUUAAUCGGAAUUACUGGGCGUAAAGCGCACGCAGGCGGUCUGUCAAGUCGGAUGUGAAAUCCCCGGGCUCAACCUGGGAACUGCAUUCGAAACUGGAAGGCUAGAGUCUGGUAGAGGGGGGUAGAAUUCCAGGUGUAGCGGUGAAAUGCGUAGAGAUCUGGAGGAAUACCGGUGGCGAAGGCGGCCCCCUGGACAAAGACUGACGCUCAGGUGCGAAAGCGUGGGGAGCAAACAGGAUUAGAUACCCUGGUAGUCCACGCCGUAAACGAUGUCGAUUUGUAGGUUGUGCCCUUGAGGCGUGGCUUCCGGAGCUAACGCGUUAAAUCGACCGCCUGGGGAGUACGGCCGCAAGGUUAAA